UGGGGAAUAUUCCACAAUGGGCGCAAGCCUGAUGCAGCCAUGCCGCGUGUAUGAAGAAGGCCUUCGGGUUGUAAAGUACUUUCAGCGGGGAGGAAGGCGAUAAGGUUAAUAACCUUGUCGAUUGACGUUACCCGCAGAAGAAGCACCGGCUAACUCCGUGCCAGCAGCCGCGGUAAUACGGAGGGUGCAAGCGCUAAUCGGAAUUACUGGGCGUAAAGCGCACGCAGGCGGUCUGUCAAGUCGGAUGUGAAAUCCCCGGGCUCAACCUGGGAACUGCAUUCGAAACUGGCAGGCUAGAGUCUUGUAGAGGGGGGUAGAAUUCCAGGUGUAGCGGUGAAAUGCGUAGAGAUCUGGAGGAAUACCGGUGGCGAAGGCGGCCCCCUGGACAAAGACUGACGCUCAGGUGCGAAAGCGUGGGGAGCAAACA
This 427-nucleotide ribosomal RNA is filed under the name uncultured bacterium. Its description in RNAcentral is "partial 16S ribosomal RNA". It matches the Rfam family "Bacterial small subunit ribosomal RNA", at positions 355 to 774 of the family's 1533-position model. The record is from RNAcentral.